This 250-nucleotide long non-coding RNA is filed under the name Neogale vison (American mink). RNAcentral describes it as "Neovison vison (American mink) lncRNA (ENSNVIG00000013661.1)". The record is from RNAcentral. Lineage: Eukaryota; Metazoa; Chordata; Mammalia; Carnivora; Mustelidae.
ACAUAAUGCCUAUAGUUGGAGCCAGUUAAACUGGUAAACAUUGAAGUCUUCAGAAAACAAGUAAAGGAAUCCAAGGCAAGGAAGAAAGUAAAUUCAUCCUGGAAGGACUCAAAGCACUUUGAAAUUUUAAACGAAUGUAAUGAUAGCUGCUAAAACCACCUUUGUCACCAUAAUGGAUGAAGUACUUCAAAUUUAAACGAGAAAAUGCUCUAUGAGGUUGGUGAAAUACGUGUUUACAGUGCGUGUACUC